AGCAGCCCCUGGUAUAUCCAGGACAUCAGCACAUAGAACCAGUGAAAGGGUCCUCCCUCAUAGUGACGCAUGUCAUAGACUCAGAUUUAUACAAACAAAUGCUGAGCAAACCAUGAAGAGUCUCUGGUAUUUUCAACAAUAUCAUCACAGAGGAACUGUAUUGAUUUCCUUCCUUCAGUGGUCCAAGAACCUGCUGCUCCCGGGUCCUCUCAUUUGAAGACACCCACCGCCUAAGGAUGAAGAGAAGCUCCUUCUUGCAGAUCUGAGGCUGAUUUCCCAACUCCCAGGAACACCCUACCCACAGCCUGUUCCCCAGACCCAGGAAUUCUUGACCAAGACUACAAAUGUAGCCCAUUUGACAUCGAAAACAUUGGGACAGGUGUGAGAGUGAGGAAAAUGGGGAGAAAAAAGAACUUUGAAGACAAGGAUUUGAAGUUAGCAUGAAGCAUGGAAAGGAGGAAGGGCAAGCUUUCUGCAGUGAGGACAGUGCCUGCCAGAGAAAACCAGAUCCUGGGGAGGGGUUUCUCCAGAAAGAGAAAGUCAAAGCUGCAGGU
This 554-nucleotide long non-coding RNA is filed under the name Homo sapiens (human). RNAcentral describes it as "HSALNT0393059". Lineage: Eukaryota; Metazoa; Chordata; Mammalia; Primates; Hominidae. The record is from RNAcentral.